RNAcentral lists this long non-coding RNA (1461 nucleotides) under Coffea arabica (coffee). RNAcentral describes it as "long non-coding RNA (CARA_LNC005775)". Lineage: Eukaryota; Viridiplantae; Streptophyta; Magnoliopsida; Gentianales; Rubiaceae. The record is from RNAcentral.
AAGUUCUCCCCGAAUCCAUCGUGAUGAUGAGAAUUUACCAUACCCAUCAAAGCUCCUCCUCCUAGAUGAUCAUGAGUUGUUAAUGGACCAACACCUAUUUGUUCUUGGUGUGGAUGUUCCAUGCAACCUGCAGAGGUGAUAGCACUAGUUUUGUUCCCAAAAGAUGCCAUCAGCCCGUGAUGAUGCAUAAGCCCAGAUCCAGAACUAGACCCUAUUCCCAUCUGAUCUUCACGUGAGGCCAGACCCAGGCUAGAACCAGCUGUAGAAGUGGCCAAUAUUAUUGAUGUUGAACCCAUCAAACCAGUACUCACGUGAGCUGCUUGGUGGGGUCUCAGCAUCGUUGUUGUCGCCGAGGCAGCGGCCGCCACCACGUCCGCACCAGCAGCUGAUUGACUUGAUGCAGGUUUGCUGAUUGUAACUCCCAUUUGUGCUGCUUUUUGCAGCAAUGCAGUUGCAGACAUGUGGGGUGAUGCCGAUGCCGCGGCGGCUUGGAAUGAGGAGGAAAGAGUUGGGUUAGGGUUAGGGUUGUUGACAUUUUCAUGAUGAUGAAUCAUGGUUUGGUCCAGUCUCGGGCUGCUGAACAAGUCAUGACUUGUUGGAGGACCUCCCCCUGGAUCACAGAGCCAAGGCGGCAGCUCUGGUGGCCUCAAGUUGCUAUUGAAGCUUUGUUGUCGUUGUAACUGUAACUGUAACUGAUCUUGUUCUCGCUUGAGAGGAAACACGGGGAGGCCGCCGCCAUGGAGAGGAUGGUUUUGGAGGUGGAGUUGGACUGAAGAUGUAGUACUAUUGCCGCCGCCGCCUAGUAGUCCUAGUGGGUGGUUGUUUGUUGUAAUUGCCCGGGCACUCUCUUCUGCCAAGGCGUCGCAGAAAGCUCUAUGGGUGAUGAAACUGUCCCUCCUGACAAACAAAAACAAACAGAAAAAAACAAAAGGAAUAAAACAUCAAAAUGCUGCUGCAGAUUAAACAAUAGACAGUACGGUACCAUAUAUCUAUGAACGAUGCUCCCUCUUUUUCAUCUGAGUCCGUCUCUGUCGUCAACUUUUUCUGCGCUUUCAUCUAUGGUGGCAGAAUAGAUAGUAGUAGAGUACAUGAUUUUUUAGCAGUAAAGUUUUCUUUGUUUUUAGCUUUUUGCAGUGAAAGAAUAAAUAAAGUAGUGUUAGGACAUACUACAAAACUUGUAAUGAUACAAAUUCACUGCACAUACGCACAUACACACAAAGACAAAGACAAAAGAUUGCAAGAACAACACAAGAUUCACAAGGCAAAGAUGCUUAAGGUGGUACCACGUACUAAUUGCCUAGUAAAACUGAAUGUGAGCAAAGUAUUUUUUUUUUUUUGGUCAAAAAAUGAGAGCAAAGUAUUUGACAUUGGGUAUUUUGGUAGCUUCUUUCUAGUGUGCAUGGAACAUCCAUUUGACCCCAGAUUCCUAAAUUAAAAAAGAAAAAAAAGAAGAUCGAUUAC